This 515-nucleotide ribosomal RNA is filed under the name uncultured bacterium. Its description in RNAcentral is "bacterial SSU rRNA". It matches the Rfam family "Bacterial small subunit ribosomal RNA", at positions 24 to 518 of the family's 1533-position model. The record is from RNAcentral.
UCAGAACGAACGCUGGCGGCGUGCUUAACACAUGCAAGUCGAACGCGAAAGGGACUUCGGUCCUGAGUAAAGUGGCGCACGGGUGAGUAACGCGUAGAUAACCUGUCUUCAUGUCUGGAAUAAUACGCCGAAAGGGGUACUAAUACCGGAUAUUCUUGCUUUUCAUAAGUUAUGCAAGCAAAGGUGGCCUCUGCAUAUGCUACUGCAUGAAGAGGGGUCUGCGUACCAUUAGCUAGUAGGUGGGGUAAUGGCCUACCUAGGCGACGAUGGUUAGCGGGUCUGAGAGGAUGAUCCGCCACACUGGCACUGGAACACGGGCCAGACUCCUACGGGAGGCAGCAGUGAGGAAUAUUGCGCAAUGGGGGAAACCCUGACGCAGCGACGCCGCGUGAAGUGAGGAAGGCCUUCGGGUCGUAAAGCUCUGUCAAGAGGAAAGAAGUGUACAAUGGCUAAUACCUGUUGUAUUUGACGGUACCUCUAAAGGAAGCACCGGCUAACUCCGUGCCAGCCGCAGC